RNAcentral lists this ribosomal RNA (253 nucleotides) under uncultured bacterium. RNAcentral describes it as "partial 16S ribosomal RNA". It matches the Rfam family "Bacterial small subunit ribosomal RNA", at positions 524 to 776 of the family's 1533-position model. The record is from RNAcentral.
UACAGGGGGGGCAAGCGUUGUUCGGAAUUACUGGGCGUAAAGGGCUCGUAGGCGGCCAACUAAGUCACACGUGAAAUCCCCAGGCUCAACCUGGGAACUGCGUGUGAUACUGGAUGGCUUGAAUUCGGGAGAGGGAUGCAGAAUUCCAGGUGUAGCGGUGAAAUGCGUAGAUAUCUGGAGGAAUACCGGUGGCGAAGGCGGCAUCCUGGACCGACAUUGACGCUGAGGAGCGAAAGCCAGGGGAGCAAACGGG